UCCCUAAUGGCUCAGAUGGUAAAGCGUCUGUCUGCAAUGCAGGAGACCCGGGUUCAAUCCCUGGGUUGGAAA
This 72-nucleotide transfer RNA is filed under the name Bos taurus (domestic cattle). It matches the Rfam family "tRNA". From Rfam's summary of the family: Transfer RNA (tRNA) molecules are approximately 80 nucleotides in length. Their secondary structure includes four short double-helical elements and three loops (D, anti-codon, and T loops). Further hydrogen bonds mediate the characteristic L-shaped molecular structure. tRNAs have two regions of fundamental functional importance: the anti-codon, which is responsible for specific mRNA codon recognition, and the 3' end, to which the tRNAs corresponding amino acid is attached (by aminoacyl-tRNA synthetases). tRNAs cope with the degeneracy of the genetic code in two manners: having more than one tRNA (with a specific anti-codon) for a particular amino acid; and 'wobble' base-pairing, i.e. permitting non-standard base-pairing at the 3rd anti-codon position. Lineage: Eukaryota; Metazoa; Chordata; Mammalia; Artiodactyla; Bovidae. RNAcentral also lists the same sequence under 2 other names. The record is from Rfam by way of RNAcentral.